ACAAGCGGUGGAGUAUGUGGUUUAAUUCGAUGCAACGCGAAGAACCUUACCUGGUCUUGACAUCCCGGAGACCCUUAGGAAACUAGGGGGUGCUUCCAUCUGGAAGAAUCUGGAGACAGGUGCUGCAUGGCUGUCGUCAGCUCGUGUCGUGAGAUGUUGGGUUAAGUCCCGCAACGAGCGCAACCCUUGCCUUUAGUUGCCAGCAGUUCGGCUGGGCACUCUAAAGGGACUGCCGGUGUUAAACCGGAGGAAGUGGGGAUGACGUCAAGUCCUCAUGGCCUUUAUGACCAGGGCUACACACGUACUACAAUGGCCGAUACAAAGGGCAGCGACACUGCGAGGUGAAGCCAAUCCCGUAAAAUCGGUCUCAGUCCGGAUUGGAGUCUGCAACUCGACUCCAUGAAGUUGGAAUCGCUAGUAAUCGUGGAUCAGCAUGCCACGGUGAAUACGUUCCCGGGCCUU
RNAcentral lists this ribosomal RNA (462 nucleotides) under uncultured Desulfobulbus sp. Its description in RNAcentral is "bacterial SSU rRNA". It matches the Rfam family "Bacterial small subunit ribosomal RNA", at positions 925 to 1382 of the family's 1533-position model. The record is from RNAcentral. Lineage: Bacteria; Pseudomonadati; Thermodesulfobacteriota; Desulfobulbia; Desulfobulbales; Desulfobulbaceae.